This 85-nucleotide unclassified non-coding RNA is filed under the name uncultured fungus. Its description in RNAcentral is "partial ITS1". The record is from RNAcentral. Lineage: Eukaryota; Fungi.
UGGCCCCCCCCAUACGGGGGCAUGUGCACACUCUGUUCACACAACCACUCACACCUGUGCACCCUCCGUAAUUGUGGGCCUGGGG